This is a long non-coding RNA of Fukomys damarensis (Damara mole-rat), 5917 nucleotides long. RefSeq lists it as uncharacterized. The record is from RefSeq and is a predicted model, not a curated record. Lineage: Eukaryota; Metazoa; Chordata; Mammalia; Rodentia; Bathyergidae. The transcript is spliced from 7 exons.
CUCUGGGGGAGGCCACUGUGGCUCUGAAGCCCUUGCGUCCUGCGUGGCUGUAGACUCAGCUCCAGGGGGUCCUGAGCAGCCCCAGAUGAUGCCCAGUUCCAGUCCUGCAGGUGGAGGGUCUAAGUGGCUGAAUUGCACAGGUGAAAUAAAACAUCUGCACAGCCUACAGAAAAUCAUGCUGCUGAGGAGUACGCCACUGAAAUACUAAAGAGGGAAACCACAGCCUCCUGCAUUCUAGAUAACAGGAAAUCUGAGAUUUAGGAUUAAACUGCCUGCUGUUUUGAACAGAAGAGCUGCAGGUUUGAGCUGACUGGCCGCGGUGAACUCCACUUUCCUUGACCCCACUCUGCAAGGCUUCAGACCUCUGUGCUGCGGUCCCAGAGCAGCUUCCAGGUGGAAGACUGUGCAUCGAGGGCUGUGUUCCUUUUCAGUCCCAGCAACAGAAACUCCUGGCACUCUGGUUCCUGAGUGUGUCUGCUGGCCACACAGGUGGUGAUGGAGCAGAGGAGAUUUGAAGAGAGGGAACCAGGUGCAGAGAAAAGGUGAGAGAUCUUUGUCCUGGAGACGCUUAAAGAGAUUUUCACAUGCUUUCUGUGUGGUUAGCUAUGCAAAGGCCCAAGAAUAGCCCGCCACAGAAAUCCACAGCAGAAGGGCAGUUAUUACGCCAGGCGUUGAGUGGGGCUUGUGUUUCCUUGGGCUCUCCCUCCAUGCCCAGCAUCCUGUCCUCACCUCCAGAAGGGCAUAGUUUGCAUGGCAUCCUAGCUGCUUAUUGACUUGUUUUCCUCCCCUGCAUUCCAUAACCUUGUGGAGGGCAGAGCACAUGUAAUUUGACUUUUUAUCCCUGGAAGCUAGCAGAGUAGCUGGUAAUAGUGAGUGUUAAUGUUUGUUUGAUGAAUAAUUAAUGAGUAAACAGGGCUAGGUUAAUGUGACCAUUUCACUGAUGAGGCCAGAGAAAGAAAAGUAACUUGCUGGUCAGGGGAUCAGCAAUGGCUUCCUGGUGCUCUUAUCUGGCCCUUGGCAUAGCCUUGACUCAUUUUUCCUAUUAACUGUUGGCAAUCCCGCCUGGUGUUCUUGCUCCCCAAGUCUUAGCCUGGCACUCUUGGCCUUUCUGUUUUCCUUCCUUGGAGUGCAAUGGACCUGGAUUAGGAAGGGAAGGAUGAGGAGCCUCCUGCUAUGUCUUGCUGAAUGGCUAAUGCAACAGGCAGGAAGCAAGGAGGAAAGAAGGCUCUGUGAGCAGUACCAUGAUAAUGUGAUGAGGUUGGCCCCUAGUUUCACAGACAGACCCCAGGUUCACAGGGGAGGUCAUGUGUCUGAGCACAGCACAGUUGUUUCAAGGUAGAGACUCAAACUCAGCUUUGCUGGUUUUCAGGGGAGUCCCUGACCUUGACCACUACUUCCCAUGGUGGCCACGGAAAGCUGCUGUGUGGAACUGUGUCCUGAGUACCAUGGGACAGGUUGGCCCAGGAGGACUCAAGCAGAGGAGGCUGUGGCCAGUGACAGGGCCAAGUGGGAGGAGGCAAGAGGCUCAGAAGCUAAGCAGCAGCAGGAAGGAGGCCUGGAGGCCCAAAGGCUGAGGCGAAAGAGGAUAGGCAGAGCAUGACCUCUGUGGAUGGGAAAGUGUGCCCUUCCUCCGUUUGGGCCUUUGCAGCCAGGCCUAUUCAGGGUGGUUGCUGCUGCACCCUUGGGCUCUCAAGGGAGCCUGUGCUCUGCCCAAAGGCCAGGAGGACUGGCCAGGGGUCCUGGGGCCAAAGCCCUGCCCCUGGAGCUGUGUUUCCCAGGGCCCGGCAUGUGCCUUUCUGUACCUGUCUCCUCACCUGGCCCUGCAGGGGCUCUGUACCUGUUUCUUGGAAUUGCAGACAAUGGCUGGACAGCAGUGGCACUCUGGGUGCAGAGGCCAUUUCAUUACCAUUGUCCUGUUAUCGAAGGCCCCUGAGCCAGUGCCAUGCCUAGGAGAGUAGCUUUUGUAAAGUGGUGCCAUGAGAUUGUUCUGCCAGAAAGGCCAUGAGUGUGGCCCCUGGUCCUUCCUGAGAGUCAGGCUAGGAGAAAGGGGCAGGGCCUGAGUUCUGGGCUUGGGAUGGAGGGGUUAGAGGGGCUACAGAAAUGAAACAAGGUGGGACGGCUCUGUUCCAGCAGCCACUAGGUCCUCCAGGGACAUGUGUGUACAUGUUUGCUCAUGCCUGUGUGCAUGUGCAUGCACUUAUGUGUAUGGGCCUUGCCUGAGAGUAAGUGUAAGUGUUUGUUCACAUGCACACAUAUGCACACGUGUGCUGGUAUGUGUGCACGUGCACACAUGCAUGUGGGUAUGCAUAUAUGUGCACAGUGCAGUCCAGCUAUACACAAGUGUGCACAGUACACAUGUGUGCAUGCAAUUGUGUGUGCAAGGAGAGCAUGCAAGCACACACACAUACGUGUUUGGGCUUCCAGGUGUGCAUAGAUGUACAGUCCAGGUGUGUGAAUGUGUGUGCAUAUGAGUGUGUGUGUGUGUGUGUGUGGGGCUUCUGGUGGCCCAACAGGAGCCUAGAAGUUGGAGGCUCAGGCUCCCAGGGCCUAGCACCCAGGCUCCCCUGCUCUGCAGACUUGGAAGAAAGGCCUUUGUUUCUUUCCUCUUAAUGUCUUCGAAAAGCUCCUCUGAAAAAUCCUGACCUGGUUUCUGUGCCAUGAGAAAAGAAUGUGUGAUUUCCCUGCCAGGAGGGCUUAGGGCAUUGGAGGGAGGGGGAAAUCUGUCCCAGUCUGGACCCCAUGUUGGGUUCAUCUUCACCUGCUGAUUCUCUUGGUUGCCCCAUUUGUGGAUGGCCAGGCCCAAAAGGGCUGGUGAGCACAGGGAGGGCUGCGAUGGCCCCUCCCUCUCACUGGGUCCUGGCUUGGCUUGUGAGGACGACUGACCUUCCAGUUUCCAUGGCUCCAAGUGCUGCGUUGUUAUCUCUCUUGAUCCUCACGUCCACUCCCUUAGCUUUUUUUUUUAUCGAUGAGAAAACCUGGGCUUCUGGGUUCCGUGACGUUCCCAUAAUCCACAGGGUCAGGACUGAGCUCUGGCUGUCCUACUCCAACUCACCACAUCCUUCCCUCACUCUCUGGUCCUGACUAGGGUGUACACACCGCCAGACACUACCUUCCUUUCUACUCAUUCCUUGUCCCCUUCUUCCCACCAGAGCUGAUGCUUGCAGUCCCUGCUCUGAGCCACAGUCCCCCAGGGAGGCCCAGCUGCUCCUCCCUCUGUCCCCAGGCCUGGCACUGCUGUUCCCUAAGACAUGGCAUGGAGAAGGGCAUGACUCCCCAGGCCUGGUGAAGAUUCACACAGCCUGAUGCUGUCACAGACUGGAGUGUGGUUGACACGGGGGACAGAUGCUUGGCUGCCUGCGGGGCUUGGGCCGCUGCUCAUGGGGGUCUCAGGAGCCCACUUGGGCAGCAAUGCAGAAUGGCAGCUAUUCCCCAUGGCCACCCACUGGUCUGUGCACGUCUGUGUCCUGCGUAGGCUGGGGGGCCCCCAGGGUUGAGGGAGGGAAUCUGCAUGCAGCAUUGACCAGGCAUAAGCCAGGGCCUCCUGGGUCACAGAGGAGGGGGAAACACCACCCUGUGCUGAGGGGACACACCGAGAGAUGCUGCCUGGGUGCAGGGCAUGAGUCAGCCUGGUGAUUGAGCCAGAGCCUUAGGGAACAUGGGCUCUGGACCUGGUACUAGGUUGACUCCCCAUGACACCAUUCAGGGGUGCAAGGCCCUUAUCAGUGGCUGUGCCUCCGUUUUCCCAUCCUUGAACACAGGACCAGAACACAGGUGCUGAGUGCAGAGGGCAGGGCGAGGGUCAGUGCAGCUCCUCAGUGCAGCGCUCGGGGUCUGGGCACCUGGUGGCCACAGUGCGAGUGAUGCAGAGGUUUGGUUGCACCGCAUGGAUUUUGUUUCUUUGCUGAGCCCUAUGCUGGGGUUUUCAUCUUUCCCUGGAAACUCCACUCCAGGUCCCUUCAGUCUGCCUCCCCAGCCUCUCAGACAUCUAUCCUUUCCUCAAGCUGCCAUCUGUCCCACAACUAAGCCAACUGGCUAUAGGGUCACCUGCUGCCAGAACAAAGCUCCCUGCAAGCCGACCUCCACUCUGCAGCUAGCAGUGACCCUCAGGUCAGAAGGAGACCUGAGCCACUGAAGUGGUCCUGCCAGCCACCACCGAACUCAGUGGCCCCUCAUUGCCUUGUUAUGGACCCACAACUUUGCCUUGUGCCCAAGCUAGGCCUCUCUAGCCCCAUGUCUGAGUCCCAUCAACUGCCCACUCCUGGCUCCUGCAGCCUUUCUGCCUGGUGCCCUCCAUGCUUCUGGGACUUCCCAUUUAGCCUUGCCAUACACUGUGCCUGACCAGCCCUAGUGAGCCCUCAGGACAGCUCUUUAGCCCCAGAGCCCUCAGGUUUCCCAAGCAUGCAUUUGCACCUUGCAGAAAUAUCCACUCCCUGGAGCACCACUGGGCUGCCUUAUUCCAGAUGCUGGGGCAUCAGAGCUUUCAGACAGCUGGAAAUUUGGGAGGUGCGUGGUUCCCCCAUGCUGCCCUGGCCCUGGGCUGGGUCUGUGUCUGUGAGAAGCUGCUUGCAUUCUCAGGCUCCUUGGCCAUGGCACCAUGCAUUGUGUGAAUUCAAGUUUGGACAGGAGAUGCAUUUGGGUGCUGUGCUUGCUGCUAGGGACAGAGGGAGGACGCGGGAUCUAGGGGAGUGGGAUCCCCCGGUGUCAUGUGAGGAGCAUAGUGCAUGUUGAUCCUCAUUGCCCCUUACUAGCAGUGUGGCCUCCAGCAAGCUGCUUGACCUCUCUGUUCCAGCUCCCAUCUGGAAAAGGGGUCAGAAUGCUAGCUGCUCACAGAGCCGUUGGGUCACUGUAUUCAUGUGUGUGAUGCAUUCAGAGCCAUGUCUGUGCGUCACAAGGGCUCCGUAUAGAAGUGAAUUCUCCCUGAACAUGGAAUAACAGGGCUCUGAGUAUAGACAGGUCUGAAUUCAAGCCCAACCUCUGCUCACCAAGGAAGUGAAGGACAUGGCUGAGCCUCAGUUUCCUUGUCUGCCUACUGGAAGCCAGGUGAGGACUCUCAGGGCAAGACCUGAACCCUUGGAAUUAGUCAACCAAGAGGAGUGGGCUCACCAGUCUGCCCAGACACCUCCUCCUUCAGGAAGCUGCCCUGUGGUUUUGGCCUUUCUCUCAAACUCCCAUAACACAUCCCUGCACCUCUGAGCAGCCUUAGCUGUAAAUUCCAGCCCUAGCUGACCGGCUCUGUGGCUCCAGACAGCCUGGCCUUGAGUCUCUGUAAUGGGAGAGGUAGACAAGCUCAAACACUGAGACCUGGAAGACUACCUGGCAGUAGGUAGACACCCCAAAACCCAACUUCCUGUGUCUCUGUCUUCCUUUCCAGCCCCCAAUUGGCCUCUCAGCUCAUGAAGGAGCUGAUUCAACUCUGCAGUCCCUGCAGGUGGCAGGUGACAGGGCUGGUGAGUCCACAGAGGAUAUGACACUCUGGGGCAGCUCCCCUUAUUCCCCAGACUCCUUUGCUGGGCACCCCCUCCUUGCCCACCAUGGAAGUUUCCUCUUCUCCCUUGUAGCUGAGGCGCCUUGCCCAACACUGGCCUCUCACCCCAGGGUUGCUUCUCUGGGGAUGACCCUCUACUGUUCAUCCGUCCACUCCUGCCUAGCUGGUGGGUCAUUGUCUAAGGUCAUGGUGCAGAGGGCUUUGGAUAUAUAACUGCUGCUGUGUGGUGCUGCCGUGACUCAGAGUGGCUCGCUUGGGCUGUUGACCCAGGAACAGGGACCCACACUGGGCUGGCCCUGGAGCAGGCCGAGGCAGCCUUCGGCCAGAACCCACGCGGUGUGAGUCAGCACCUGACCCAUCCCUGUCCUCAGAGACCAGCAGACCUGAGUGGUGCAGGGUGUGUGGGGUCCCUUAGGUGAGGAUGAAGGGGCC